AAGGAUUUAAGUUACAUAAACUAUCAACCUUCAAAGUUGAAAAAGAAGGCAUAAACUUUAAGCCUUA
RNAcentral lists this transfer RNA (67 nucleotides) under Heterocerus parallelus. RNAcentral's name for it is "tRNA-Trp". Lineage: Eukaryota; Metazoa; Arthropoda; Insecta; Coleoptera; Heteroceridae. The record is from RNAcentral.